This 437-nucleotide ribosomal RNA is filed under the name uncultured bacterium. RNAcentral describes it as "partial 16S ribosomal RNA". It matches the Rfam family "Bacterial small subunit ribosomal RNA", at positions 29 to 507 of the family's 1533-position model. The record is from RNAcentral.
AGCGAACGCUGGCGGCAGGCUUAACACAUGCAAGUCGAGCGGGCAUCCUUGUGGUGUCAGCGGCAGACGGGUGAGUAACGCGUGGGAACGUGCCCUUCGGUUCGGAAUAACUCAGGGAAACUUGAGCUAAUACCGGAUACGUGCGAGAGCAGAAAGUUUUAUCUGACGAAGGAGCGGCCCGCGUCUGAUUAGCUAGUUGGUGAGGUUACGGCUCACCAAGGCGACGAUCAGUAGCUGGUCUGAGAGGAUGGUCAGGCACACUGGGACUGAGACACGGCCCAGACUCCUACGGAAGGCGGCAGUGGGGAAUAGUGGACAAUGGGGGCAGCCCUGAUCCAGCCAUGCCGCGUGAGUGAUGACGGCCUUAGGGUUGUAAAGCUCUUUUCUCCGGGACGAUAAUGACGGUACCGGAGGAAUAAGCCCCGGCUAACUUCGUG